Molecule: long non-coding RNA, 1513 nt
Organism: Mesoplodon densirostris (Blainville's beaked whale)
Lineage: Eukaryota; Metazoa; Chordata; Mammalia; Artiodactyla; Ziphiidae
Exons: 3
Source: RefSeq, a predicted model, not a curated record
GAGGGCGCGCCAAGCCAGAGCCCAAGGCGCCCUCCAAGAACGCGCGCUACUUGGAAUCCCCCUCCCGGAAACCCGCAAAGCUGGAAAGCACCUUAUCUCAUCCCCUCAUUGCACCAAUAAGGAAGUAGGUCCCAGCGAAAAGAGGCGGCAGGGGCGGAACACACGAGCGACAGAGCUACCGAUCAGUCCUUGAAAGAUGGGAAAGAGCACUGUUAAUCACAGAAACAAAACUGAUCCUUCACCAAAGGUAGCUUGAGAAGCAGAGAGGCCUCCUAAGAACAAUGAAGGGAAGAGACAUAUGCGACCCAAUAACAGGGGGCACACCAUACAGCUUGUGGGAUCUUAGUUCCUUGACCAGGGAUUGAACCCAGGCCCCCAGCAGUGGAAGCGUGGAGUCAUAACCAAUGGACCGCCAGGGAAUUCCCAGGCCCUCAUUUUUCUUGUGGAGAUCACACUGAGGGGUCUCCUAUGCUGUUAUUUGGCCUCCAGUCCCAUCACUUGUCUUCUCCUUUGUAGUGUUGUUUUCUUCGCCCAGAAUCUUCUUCCUUUGUUUAUUUUUGCCUCCAGCAAACUUCUAUUCCAUUUUUUCAGGCCCUUUAAAGGAGUUCAACAAUGGCCUCUCGGGGCUUCCCUGGUGACGCAGUGGUUGAGAACCCACCUGCCAAUGCAGAGGAGAUGGGUUCGAGCCCUGGUCCGGGAAGAUCCCACAUGCCGCGGAGCAAAUAAGCCCGUGCACUACAACUACUGAGCCUGUGCUGUAGAGCCUGUGAGCCACAACUAUUGAGCCUGUGUGCUGCAACUACUGAAGCCCGUGUGCCUAGAGCCCCUGCUCUGCAACAAGAGAAGCCACCGCAAGGAAGAGUAGCCCCUGCUCGCCUCAACUAGAGAAAGCCUGCACGCAGCAGUGAAGACCCAACACAGCCAGAAAUAAAUAAAUUAAAUACAUUUAAAAAAGAGAAUGGCCUCUUGCAAGAAACUUUCCCAGACUCAGACUAGAUUAGUGCUAGAGACUGAAUGUUUAUGUCCCACCCCCAGCCCCCACCAAAUUCAUAUGUUGAAACCUAAUCCCCAAAGUGAUGGUGUUUGGAGGUGAGGUCUUUGAGGUCUUUGGGGUGAUUAGUUCAUGAGGAUGGGGCCUUCAUGAAUGGGAUUAGUGCCCUUAAAAAAGAGACCCCUAGGACUUCCCUGGCAGUCCAGUGGUUAGGACUCUGCUCUACCACUGCAGGGGCCCAGGUACGAUUCCUGGUUGGGGAACUAAGAUCCCGCAUGCUGCGUGGCCAAAAAAAGACUCCAGGGAAUUCCCUGGUGGUCCAGUGGUUAGGACUUGGUGUUUUCACUGCCGUGGCCUGGGUUCAAUCCCUGGUCAGGGAACUAAGAUCUUGCAAGCUGCUCAGCCAAAGAAAAAAGGAAGAGAGAGACUCCAGAAAACUCCCUUGCCCCUUCUAUCCUGUGAGGACCCAGUGAGAAGAUGGCCAUCCAUGAACCAGAGAGCAGGUUCUCACCAGACACAAAU